This 796-nucleotide long non-coding RNA is filed under the name Actinidia chinensis (golden kiwifruit). Its description in RNAcentral is "long non-coding RNA (ACHI_LNC003583)". Lineage: Eukaryota; Viridiplantae; Streptophyta; Magnoliopsida; Ericales; Actinidiaceae. The record is from RNAcentral.
AAGAUAUUGAAAGAAUUAUAUAUUUUUUAAAUCAAAAUAGUAAAACAUGUAGCUGCCACAUCAUUCUUUUAUUAAUUUUUUAUAUAAAAAAAUUUAAGAUAAUAUAUUUUAUGUAAUAUAUUAACAGUAUUUAUUCAUACGUGACGAAAUACACAAUAAUGCAGGUCACAUCGCAUUUAAAUAAAUGUUAGGCCUUGUGCAAUAAAUGUUUGACUGGAUCAGAAUUAUGCUUGUCCUUUUCAUAAAUGCUCUCUCUGUUAGUUCCCAGAUUUUACUGUCAUAUUGGCGGUCAAGAUUCUGAAUUUUCUUUUUCAUUGUGCAACUCUAGCCCUAGGUAUUGAUUCUACUCUCUAAAUUUGCAAACAUGGGAAUUGUCAAAUUAUUCAAUAAUUCUUUCAAAUUAAUGUUCACGAAUUAAUAUUGUGAUUUGCAGGUGUUAUUCAACAAUUCUAAGUAACGAUGAUAUCAUUAUUUCUGUUUUAUUUUAUUUCUGUUUCUUGGCUUUUAUGAUUUUUCGUUAGUUGAGAUAAAUUGAGGCUCCGUUGGUAAUGCUUAAAAAUUAAAUUUUUUUUAAACUUACUACUAAAAAAGAUAAGAUUUUUUGACUUUUCUAGCUUUACUUUAUCUUAAAAAAAUAAAAAAACAAAAACAAAAAAAAUAAAAAAAUCAAUUCUGAUUGACUUUUUGCUUAUUUACUUAAAAAAAGUCAGCCGAAAAGCAAAAAAAAAACUUGCUUCAAAUAGAGCCUGAAUCUCUAGGUGAAUUGUUUUGUAUUUAGUGAAUUGUUUUACUUUAC